ACCAGGAUGGUCAAGUGGUUAAGGUGUUGGAUUUAAGAACCAAUGGACUAGUACCCACGUGGAUUCAAACCCAACUCUCGGUA
RNAcentral lists this transfer RNA (83 nucleotides) under Loxodonta africana (African savanna elephant). It matches the Rfam family "tRNA". From Rfam's summary of the family: Transfer RNA (tRNA) molecules are approximately 80 nucleotides in length. Their secondary structure includes four short double-helical elements and three loops (D, anti-codon, and T loops). The record is from Rfam by way of RNAcentral. Lineage: Eukaryota; Metazoa; Chordata; Mammalia; Proboscidea; Elephantidae.